UACAGAGGGUGCAAGCGUUGUUCGGAAUUAUUGGGCGUAAAGGGCGCGUAGGCGGUGCUGUAAGUCUGUGGUGAAAUCUCUGGGCUCAACUCAGAGUCUGCCAUAGAAACUGCAGUGCUGGAGUGUGGGAGAGGUGAGUGGAAUUCCCGGUGUAGCGGUGAAAUGCGUAGAUAUCGGGAGGAGCACCUGUGGCGAAAGCGGCUCACUGGACCACAACUGACGCUGAGGCGCGAAAGCUAGGGGAGCAAACAGG
RNAcentral lists this ribosomal RNA (253 nucleotides) under uncultured bacterium. RNAcentral's name for it is "partial 16S ribosomal RNA". It matches the Rfam family "Bacterial small subunit ribosomal RNA", at positions 524 to 776 of the family's 1533-position model. The record is from RNAcentral.